GCUGGCGGUGGGUGAGUAACACGUAAGAAUUUGCCUUUAGGAGGGGGGACAAAAAACUGGAAACGGUUGCUAAUACCCCCAUUAUGCUUUCGAGUGAAAGGGUUUUUCCGCCUAGAGAAGAAGCUUGCGGGCUGAUUAGCUUGUUUGGUAAGGUAAUGGCUUACCAAGGCCGACGAUCAGUGGUCUUGGUUUGAGAAGGACGAUCAGACACACUGGAACUGGGACACCGGUCCAGACUCCUACGGGGGGCAGCAGUGGGGAAUUUUCCGCAAUGGGCGAAAGCCUGACGGAGCAAUACCGCGUGAGGGAUGAAUGCCUAUGGGUUGUAAACCUCUUUUUUCAGGGAGGAACAAAAUGACGUGUACCUGAAGAAUAAGCAUCGGCUAACUCCGUGCCAGCAGCCGCGGUAAGACGGAGGAUGCAAGUGUUAUCCGGAAUCACUGGGCGUAAAGCGUCUGUAGGUGGUUUAAUAAGUCAACUGUUAAAUCUCGAGGCUCAACUUCGAAACCGCAGUCGAAACUAUUAGACUAGAGUAUAGUAGGGGUAAAGGGAAUUUCCAGUGGAGCGGUGAAAUGCGUAGAGAUUGGAAUGAACACCGAUGGCGAAGGCACUUUACUGGGCUAUUACUAACACUGAGAGACGAAAGCUAGGGUAGCGGGUGGGUUUAGAUACCCCUGUACUCCUUCCCGUA
Molecule: ribosomal RNA, 691 nt
Filed under: uncultured bacterium
Lineage: Bacteria
Description: bacterial SSU rRNA
Rfam family: Bacterial small subunit ribosomal RNA
Source: RNAcentral